Molecule: ribosomal RNA, 253 nt
Filed under: uncultured prokaryote
Description: partial 16S ribosomal RNA
Rfam family: Bacterial small subunit ribosomal RNA
Source: RNAcentral
ACGAACCGUGCGAACGUUGUUCGGAAUCACUGGGCUUAAAGGGCGCGUAGGCGGUCGGCCAAGUCCGGGGUGAAAUCUUUCGGCUUAACCGGAAAAGUGCCUUGGAUACUGGCUGGCUGGAGGGAGGUAGGGGCAGGUGGAACUUCCAGUGGAGCGGUGAAAUGCGUUGAUAUCCAGUGGAACUCCGGUGGCGAAGGCGGCACGCUGGACCCGAUCUGACGCUGAGGCGCGAAAGCCAGGGGAGCAAACAGGA